Molecule: non-coding RNA, 303 nt
Organism: Pelobates cultripes (western spadefoot toad)
Lineage: Eukaryota; Metazoa; Chordata; Amphibia; Anura; Pelobatidae
Source: the annotation of a GenBank genome assembly
CUUAUGCAGGCUAUGGGCGGCGGGGCAAAUAGGGCAGCUGCUUUGGGCCCCCAAGGAGUAACUGGGCCCGGGGCAGCUGCCCCGUUUGCCCCGCGUUAAAGACGGCCCUGCCCAGAUUUAGGCAUUACAGUGUAGUCCAUUUGCAAAUCUGACAUUGGGAGUCCUCCCAUAUAUUGAACUCCAGGGGGUUUGACUGGGCCUUGACUUGCAUUGUUUCGAGCACACAAAACACAUCUUCGAACAAUAGCUUGAGUAAGAUUGGAUAAUCUUGGUAUGUAGAAAUGUUUCCUGAGAGAUUCUUCC